AGGCUGUUGCAGCUGUUCCAAGGGGCUGGAAAGCAGCCAGCUGGCUGGAGCAGCUGCUGGCGAUGCAGGAGGUCUCAGACACUGCAGUGCUGGGACCCUGGCAGGGGGAGACCUCAGUAGCUGCUGAAAAAUCGGGAGAGUCUUAGAGCCAGGUGCCAUGUGCUCAGCUGAAGAUGGAUGUGGCAAUCAGAGUAAAACUGCUCCAGUAAAAC
Molecule: long non-coding RNA, 212 nt
Organism: Myiozetetes cayanensis
Lineage: Eukaryota; Metazoa; Chordata; Aves; Passeriformes; Tyrannidae
Exons: 3
Source: RefSeq, a predicted model, not a curated record